GUUAGGAAUAUUGGACAAUGGGCGAAAGCCUGAUCCAGCCAUGCCGCGUGAACGAUGAAGGCCUUCGGGUUGUAAAGUUCUUUAGCCGAUGAUUAUAAUGACUGUAGUCGGAAAAUAAGCCCCGGCUAACUUCGUGCCAGCAGCCGCGGUAAUACGAAGGGGGCGAGCGUUAUUCGGAAUCACUGGGCGUAAAGCGUGUGUAGGCGGUUUUGUAAGUUAGGAGUGAAAGCCCAGGGCUCAACCUUGGAAUUGCUCUUAAAACUGCAAGGCUCGAAUGUCGGAGAGGAUAGCGGAAUUUCCAGUGUAGCAGUGAAAUGCGUAGAUAUUGGAAGGAACACCAGUGGCGUAAGCGGCUAUCUGGACGAGUAUUGACGCUGAGGCACGAAAGCGUGGGGAUCAAACAGGAUUAGAUACCCUUGUAGUCC
RNAcentral lists this ribosomal RNA (425 nucleotides) under uncultured bacterium. Its description in RNAcentral is "partial 16S ribosomal RNA". It matches the Rfam family "Bacterial small subunit ribosomal RNA", at positions 354 to 796 of the family's 1533-position model. The record is from RNAcentral.